Molecule: ribosomal RNA, 253 nt
Filed under: uncultured bacterium
Lineage: Bacteria
Description: partial 16S ribosomal RNA
Rfam family: Bacterial small subunit ribosomal RNA
Source: RNAcentral
UACGUAGGGUGCAAGCGUUAAUCGGAAUUACUGGGCGUAAAGCGUGCGCAGGCGGCUAUGCAAGACAGAUGUGAAAUCCCCGGGCUCAACCUGGGAACUGCAUUUGUGACUGCAUGGCUAGAGUACGGUAGAGGGGGAUGGAAUUCCGCGUGUAGCAGUGAAAUGCGUAGAUAUGGGGAGGAACACCGAUGGCGAAGGCAAUCCCCUGGACCUGUACUGACGCUCAUGCACGAAAGCGUGGGGAGCAAACAGG